RNAcentral lists this ribosomal RNA (541 nucleotides) under Alternaria solani. RNAcentral's name for it is "eukaryotic LSU rRNA". The stretch from base 165 to 318 matches the Rfam family "5.8S ribosomal RNA". Lineage: Eukaryota; Fungi; Ascomycota; Dothideomycetes; Pleosporales; Pleosporaceae. The record is from RNAcentral.
GGUGCAUUAUGAGGCGGGCUGGACCUCUCGGGGUUACAGCCUUGCUGAAUUAUUCACCCUUGUCUUUUGCGUACUUCUUGUUUCCUUGGUGGGUUCGCCCACCACUAGGACAAACAUAAACCUUUUGUAAUUGCAAUCAGCGUCAGUAACAAAUUAAUAAUUACAACUUUCAACAACGGAUCUCUUGGUUCUGGCAUCGAUGAAGAACGCAGCGAAAUGCGAUAAGUAGUGUGAAUUGCAGAAUUCAGUGAAUCAUCGAAUCUUUGAACGCACAUUGCGCCCUUUGGUAUUCCAAAGGGCAUGCCUGUUCGAGCGUCAUUUGUACCCUCAAGCUUUGCUUGGUGUUGGGCGUCUUGUCUCUAGCUUUGCUGGAGACUCGCCUUAAAGUAAUUGGCAGCCGGCCUACUGGUUUCGGAGCGCAGCACAAGUCGCACUCUCUAUCAGCAAAGGUCUAGCAUCCAUUAAGCCUUUUUUUCAACUUUUGACCUCGGAUCAGGUAGGGAUACCCGCUGAACUUAAGCAUAUCAAAACCCGGGAGGAA